RNAcentral lists this ribosomal RNA (350 nucleotides) under uncultured bacterium. RNAcentral describes it as "bacterial SSU rRNA". It matches the Rfam family "Bacterial small subunit ribosomal RNA", at positions 69 to 419 of the family's 1533-position model. The record is from RNAcentral.
GAACCUUCGGGGAACGAUAACGGCGUCGAGCGGCGGACGGGUGAGUAAUGCCUAGGAAAUUGCCCUGAUGUGGGGGAUAACCAUUGGAAACGAUGGCUAAUACCGCAUAAUGCCUACGGGCCAAAAAGGGGGACCUUCGGGCCUCUCCCGUCAGGAUAUGCCUAGGUGGGAUUACCUAGUUGGUGAGGUAAGGGCUCACCAAGGCAACAAUCCCUAGCUGGUCUGAGAGGAUGAUCAGCCACACUGGAACUGAAACACGGUCCAAACUCCUACGGGAGGCAGCAGUGGGGAAUAUUGCACAAUGGGCGCAAGCCUGAUGCAGCCAUGCCGCGUGUAUGAAGAAGGCCUUC